RNAcentral lists this ribosomal RNA (253 nucleotides) under uncultured bacterium. RNAcentral's name for it is "partial 16S ribosomal RNA". It matches the Rfam family "Bacterial small subunit ribosomal RNA", at positions 524 to 776 of the family's 1533-position model. The record is from RNAcentral.
UACGGAGGGUGCAAGCGUUAUCCGGAUUCACUGGGUUUAAAGGGUGCGUAGGUGGGCAGGUAAGUCAGUGGUGAAAUCUCCGGGCUUAACUCGGAAACUGCCAUUGAUACUAUCUGUCUUGAAUACCGUGGAGGUUAGCGGAAUAUGUCAUGUAGCGGUGAAAUGCUUAGAUAUGACAUAGAACACCCAUUGCGAAGGCAGCUUACUACGCCUAUAUUGACGCUGAGGCACGAAAGCGUGGGGAUCAAACAGG